UAACACGUAAACAACCUGCCUUCAAGAUGGGGACAACAGACGGAAACGACUGCUAAUACCGAAUACGAUCCGAAAGUCGCAUGACAUUUGGAUGAAAGGGUGGCCUAUCGAAGAAGCUAUCGCUUGAAGAGGGGUUUGCGUCCGAUUAGGUAGUUGGUGAGGUAACGGCCCACCAAGCCGACGAUCGGUAGCCGGUCUGAGAGGAUGAACGGCCACACUGUAACUGAGACACGGUCCAGACUCCUACGGGAGGCAGCAGCA
Molecule: ribosomal RNA, 261 nt
Filed under: uncultured Dialister sp.
Lineage: Bacteria; Bacillati; Bacillota; Negativicutes; Veillonellales; Veillonellaceae
Description: partial 16S ribosomal RNA
Rfam family: Bacterial small subunit ribosomal RNA
Source: RNAcentral